CCUACGGGGGGCAGCAGUGAGGAAUAUUGGUCAAUGGACGAGAGUCUGAACCAGCCAAGUAGCGUGAAGGAUGACUGCCCUAUGGGUUGUAAACUUCUUUUAUCAAGGAAUAAAACGAGGCACGUGUGCCUUUUUGCAUGUACUUUAUGAAUAAGGAUCGGCUAACUCCGUGCCAGCAGCCGCGGUUAUACGGAGGAUCCGAGCGUUAUCCGGAUUUAUUGGGUUUAAAGGGAGCGUAGAUGGGUUGUUAAGUCAGUUGGGAAAGUUUGCGGCUCAACCGUAAAAGUGCAAUUGAUACUGGCAGUCUUGAGUGCAGUUGAGGUAGGCGGAAUUCGUGGUGUAGCGGUGAAAUGCUUAGAUAUCACGAAGAACCCCGAUUGCGAAGGCAGCUUACUAAACUGUGACUGACAUUGAUGCUCGAAAGUGUGGGUAUCAAACAGGAUUAGAUACCCUAGUAGUC
RNAcentral lists this ribosomal RNA (460 nucleotides) under uncultured bacterium. RNAcentral's name for it is "partial 16S ribosomal RNA". It matches the Rfam family "Bacterial small subunit ribosomal RNA", at positions 338 to 795 of the family's 1533-position model. The record is from RNAcentral.